CUUGAUGCACAUAAACCUCAAGAGUACCACCAACAAGUUCUUGUUGGCCGCAGCUGAUGGAAUCUUUUCCAUUGGAUUUGAUGCUGUUUGAUUGGUUUCUAGAGCUCUGCACAGAAGCUGAGUUGUCAUUCUCGGACUCACCAGUCUUGAAUGGUGAAACAACUGAUUGUGGGGAGUCCAUAAGAAACGAUCCUGCAAAAACAUAAAAGGCCAAAAAAAAAUUGAACACAUAGAGAAGGACCCCAUCAAGAAUCAACAUAGCCAAAAUCCACAGAUCAAGUUGAGACAACAACGUAAGACCUAACUAGAGAUAUGUUUAAGUAGGAGUCUUAAUUUCAAUUCAAACUCUAAACCAAGUCAAAUAAUCCAUGAGAGGGUUCAAUAAAUAAAGGAAUAGACUUUUAUCUUAGUGACAACAACGGACGACCUAACUGAAAGUUUCAAACUGUUUUGCUUGUUCCAAUCAGACAAGAGAGCAAAAAUUCAAAACUAUGUCACAGCUCCCACUCAACACAAACAAAGAAGGUGUGAUUACUUCAAAAAAAA
Brassica rapa (field mustard) is the source of this 546-nucleotide long non-coding RNA. RefSeq lists it as uncharacterized. The record is from RefSeq and is a predicted model, not a curated record. NCBI's taxonomy places the organism in Eukaryota, Viridiplantae, Streptophyta, Magnoliopsida, Brassicales, Brassicaceae.